RNAcentral lists this ribosomal RNA (405 nucleotides) under uncultured bacterium. RNAcentral describes it as "partial 16S ribosomal RNA". It matches the Rfam family "Bacterial small subunit ribosomal RNA", at positions 30 to 526 of the family's 1533-position model. The record is from RNAcentral.
AUUGAACGCUAGCGGGAUGCUUUACACAUGCAAGUCGAACGAGUGGCGGACGUGUGAGUAAUAUAUCGGAACGUGCCCAGUAGCGGGGGAUAACUACUCGAACGAGUUGCUAAUACCGCAUUCUAUUGGAGCGGCCGCUAUCGGAUUAGCUAGUUGGUGGGGUAAAGGUUCACCAAGGCAACGAUCCGUAGCUGGUUUGAGAGGACGACCAGCCACACUGGGACUGAGACACGGCCCAGACGCCCACGGUAGGCAGCAGGGGGGAAUGUGGGAAAAUGGGGGAAACCCUGAUCCAGCCAUCCCGCGUGUAUGAGAAGGCCUUCGGGUUGUAAAGUUCUAUUGGUAGAGAAGCGGUAUCUGCAGAAGAAGCACCGGCUAACUACGUGCUAGCAGCCGCGGUAAUAC